GAAUGGUUGGAACCAAUCCAAGGAGGAAUUGGUGGUGAUGUUGUUAAUGUGUGCUUUGACAUGUGGAGUAUCCUGAUAUAUUACCAACCAUUCAAUUUAUAUAGAGAUGAAUGGGAUGGGAGAGAGAAUGGUAGGAGGCCUUUGCCCUGUACUUUUGCUCUCAGGUGUGAAAGAUUAACCUCGUGAGUAGUAAGGUGAUAACCCCUACGUUUAUAACUCUACAGAGUAUAAAUAUUACUACGGGU
This 245-nucleotide long non-coding RNA is filed under the name Vigna radiata. RNAcentral describes it as "long non-coding RNA (VRAD_LNC011581)". The record is from RNAcentral. Lineage: Eukaryota; Viridiplantae; Streptophyta; Magnoliopsida; Fabales; Fabaceae.